UACUCCUACGGGAGGCAGCAGUGGGGAAUUUUGGACAAUGGGCGAAAGCCUGAUCCAGCCAUUCCGCGUGCAGGAUGAAGGCCCUCGAGUUGUAAACUGCUUUUGUACAGAACGAAAAAGCUCCGGCUAAUACCUGGAGUCCAUGACGGUACUGUAAGAAUAAGCACCGGCUAACUACGUGCCAGCAGCCGCGGUAAUACGUAGGGUGCAAGCGUUAAUCGGAAUUACUGGGCGUAAAGCGUGCGCAGGCGGUUUUGUAAGACAGAGGUGAAAUCCCCGGGCUCAACCUGGGAACUGCCUUUGUGACUGCAAGGCUGGAGUGCGGCAGAGGGGGAUGGAACUCCGCGUGUAGCAGUGAAAUGCGUAGAUAUGCGGAGGAACACCGAUGGCGAAGGCAAUCCCCUGGGCCUGUACUGGCGCUCAUGCACGAAAGCGUGGGGAGCAAACAGGAUUAGAUACCCUGGUAGUCA
This 470-nucleotide ribosomal RNA is filed under the name uncultured Acidovorax sp. RNAcentral's name for it is "bacterial SSU rRNA". It matches the Rfam family "Bacterial small subunit ribosomal RNA", at positions 334 to 796 of the family's 1533-position model. RNAcentral also lists the same sequence under 1 other name. The record is from RNAcentral. Lineage: Bacteria; Pseudomonadati; Pseudomonadota; Betaproteobacteria; Burkholderiales; Comamonadaceae.